Molecule: ribosomal RNA, 927 nt
Filed under: fungal sp.
Lineage: Eukaryota; Fungi
Description: eukaryotic LSU rRNA
Rfam family: Eukaryotic large subunit ribosomal RNA (bases 406-927)
Source: RNAcentral
GUUAUAGGUCUUCUUAUAGCUGCUGCCGGUGGACCAUUAAACUCUUGUUAUUUUAUGUAAUCUGAGCGUCUUAUUUUAAUAAGUCAAAACUUUCAACAACGGAUCUCUUGGUUCUGGCAUCGAUGAAGAACGCAGCGAAAUGCGAUAAGUAAUGUGAAUUGCAGAAUUCAGUGAAUCAUCGAAUCUUUGAACGCACAUUGCGCCCAUUAGUAUUCUAGUGGGCAUGCCUGUUCGAGCGUCAUUUCAACCCUUAAGCCUAGCUUAGUGUUGGGAAUCUACUUCUUUAUAGUUGUAGUUCCUGAAAUACAACGGCGGAUUUGUAGUAUCCUCUGAGCGUAGUAAUUUUUUUCUCGCUUUUGUUAGGUGCUAUAACUCCCAGCCGCUAAACCCCCAAUUUUUUGUGGUUGACCUCGGAUCAGGUAGGAAUACCCGCUGAACUUAAGCAUAUCAAUAAGCGGAGGAAAAGAAACCAACAGGGAUUGCCUUAGUAACGGCGAGUGAAGCGGCAACAGCUCAAAUUUGAAAUCUGGCCCUUGGGUCCGAAUUGUAAUUUGUAGAGGAUGAUUUUGGUGCGGUAUCUUCCGAGUUCCUUGGAACAGGACGCCUUAGAGGGUGAGAGCCCCGUACGGUUGAAUGCCUAGCCUCUGUAAAUCUCCUUCGACGAGUCGAGUAGUUUGGGAAUGCUGCUCUAAAUGGGAGGUAAAUUUCUUCUAAAGCUAAAUAUUGGCCAGAGACCGAUAGCGCACAAGUAGAGUGAUCGAAAGAUGAAAAGCACUUUGAAAAGAGGGUUAAAUAGCACGUGAAAUUGUUGAAAGGGAAGGAUUUGUGACCAGACUUUUUCUGGGCGGAUCAUCCGGGGUUCUCUCCGGUGCACUUCGCCCAGUAAAGGCCAGCAUCGGUUUUCGGCGUGGGAUAAAAGCAGUAGGA